AUAAGUCCUAACAACUUUAAUAGAUUCUUAAAUAAAUUAUAAUUAAAAAUUAGAAAAUAUAAUCAAACAUCAAUCAAAUUCAAUUAAAAUUUUAAAAGAAUUAUACAAGAGACACAAAGAAUUUCUAGGGACCCUUUAAAAAAAUCAUAAAGAAAUAACAUAGAAUUUCAAAAAAAAUAUACUAAAAUAAAAAACUUAAUAAAAUAUUAAAAUAAAAACCUUAAUUAAAUCCCAAUCAAAAUCAAAUCAAAUCUUAAUCAAACCUUACUCAAACCUUAGUCAAAUUCUUGUCAAAUCUUAGUCAACUCCUAAAUAAACCCUAACCAAAUCCUAGAUAAAUCCUAAUCAACCUCUAAAUAAGUUCUAAUCAAAUCUUAGACAAAUCUUAGUCAAACUCUAAUCAAAUCCUAAUCAAAUCUUAAUCAAAUUCUAAUCAAACCUUAAUCAAAUCUUAAUCAAAUCUUAAUCGAAUCCUAAAUAAAUCCUAAUCAAAUUCUAAAUAAAUCUUAGUCAAAUCCUAGACAAAUUUUUAAUAAGCCUUAGUCAAACUCUAGUCAAAUCCUAAUCAAAUCCUAAUUAAAUCUUAAAUAAAUCUUAAUCAAAUCCUAAUAAAAAUCUAGUCAAAUCCUAAGCAAACCUUAAAUAAGCCCUAACCAAACCUUAGAUAAAUCCUAAGCAAAUCCUAAAUAAAUCCUAACCAAAUCCUAACCUAAACCAAACCCUAAUCUUAACAAAAUCUUAAAUCAAAUCCAAAAAUCCUAAUCCUAACUCUAAUCUAAUCCUAACCUUAAUCAAACCUUAAAACAAUCUAAAAUCCUAAUUUUAAUCCUAAUGCUAAACCAAA
RNAcentral lists this long non-coding RNA (844 nucleotides) under Physcomitrium patens. RNAcentral describes it as "long non-coding RNA (PPAT_LNC002930)". Lineage: Eukaryota; Viridiplantae; Streptophyta; Bryopsida; Funariales; Funariaceae. The record is from RNAcentral.